AGUAAUCAACGCUGGCGGCGUGCCUAACACAUGCAAGUCGAACGAGAAAGUGGAGCAAUCCAUGAGUAAAGUGGCGCACGGGUGAGCAACACGUGACUAACCUACCCUUGAGUGGGGGAUAACCUAGAGAAAUCUGGGCUAAUACCGCAUAAUACCUUCGGGUCAAAGGAGCAAUUCGCUUAAGGAGGGGGUCGCGGCCGAUUAGUUAGUUGGCGGGGUAAUGGCCCACAAGACUAUGAUCGGUA
RNAcentral lists this ribosomal RNA (245 nucleotides) under uncultured bacterium. Its description in RNAcentral is "partial small subunit ribosomal RNA". It matches the Rfam family "Bacterial small subunit ribosomal RNA", at positions 32 to 285 of the family's 1533-position model. The record is from RNAcentral.